RNAcentral lists this ribosomal RNA (443 nucleotides) under uncultured prokaryote. RNAcentral describes it as "bacterial SSU rRNA". It matches the Rfam family "Bacterial small subunit ribosomal RNA", at positions 355 to 796 of the family's 1533-position model. The record is from RNAcentral.
UAGGGAAUAUUGGUCAAUGGGCGGAAGCCUGAACCAGCCAUGCCGCGUGCAGGAAGACGGCCUUCUGGGUUGUAAACUGCUUUUACCAGGGAACAAAUAGGCCAUGCGUGGCAAGUUGAGUGUACCUGGGGAAUAAGCACCGGCUAACUCCGUGCCAGCAGCCGCGGUAAUACGGAGGGUGCAAGCGUUGUCCGGAUUUAUUGGGCGUAAAGCGUCCGCAGGCGGCACUAUAAGUCUGCUGUCAAAGACCGCAGCUCAACUGCGGAAAGGCAGUGGAAACUGUAGAGCUAGAGUACGGUAGGGGUAGAGGGAAUUCCCAGUGUAGCGGUGAAAUGCGUAGAGAUUGGGAAGAACACCAGUGGCGAAAGCGCUCUACUGGGCCGUAACUGACGCUCAGGGACGAAAGCUAGGGGAGCGAAAGGGAUUAGAUACCCCCGUAGUCC